RNAcentral lists this unclassified non-coding RNA (217 nucleotides) under Mortierella sp. RNAcentral's name for it is "partial internal transcribed spacer region". The stretch from base 1 to 46 matches the Rfam family "Eukaryotic small subunit ribosomal RNA", at positions 1786 to 1831 of the family's 1831-position model. The record is from RNAcentral. RNAcentral also lists the same sequence under 1 other name. Lineage: Eukaryota; Fungi; Mortierellomycota; Mortierellomycetes; Mortierellales; Mortierellaceae.
AAGUCGUAACAAGGUUUCCGUAGGUGAACCUGCGGAAGGAUCAUUCACAAUAAGUGUUUAUGGCACUUUCAAAUCCAUACCCACCUUGUGUGCAUUGUAAGGGCCCUUUCGAAAGACUGGGCUUCAUUUUCUCACACGUCUUCAAUUGCAAGUCUAACAUUCAGAGUAUAAUCAAAAAACUCGAAUACAACUUUCAACAACGGAUCUCUUGGCUCUC